Mauremys reevesii (Reeves's turtle) is the source of this 415-nucleotide long non-coding RNA. RefSeq lists it as uncharacterized. NCBI's taxonomy places the organism in Eukaryota, Metazoa, Chordata, Testudines, Geoemydidae. The record is from RefSeq and is a predicted model, not a curated record. The transcript is spliced from 3 exons.
UUUAAAGGGCCUGGGGAUUUAGAGGCCCCGCCCCUCCUAAGGACUCUGGAGUACCGACUUCAUCGGGAGGUUUGCCUGAAUAAGUGCAAAGCAUGUUCCUCUCCGGGAGCUGGGCCACCCGCAGAAGAAAAACGUAUGAUUAGUGCUGGCUAAUGGAGUUACUUGUUCACCUCAAGAGAUGGAGCGGGCUGUACUAUAGAAAUGAAGAGGCAUCAGCUUCUUCCAAAACUGAAACUCUGGGGAGGAGAAGAUGCUAGAGGGGGGAAUAACGACCGCUGCCCCCAUCACCGCCUAGUAACUUUGCUGUGACUAAAAAGAUCCACUGAGAGAGAACCCUGAUUUCUGUUCAGCUCAGUGAGUGAAUCCUAAAAAACAUCAAAAUCAGGAGCUAAAAGCUCCUGAAAAAAUGGGGUCA